This 520-nucleotide ribosomal RNA is filed under the name uncultured bacterium. Its description in RNAcentral is "partial 16S ribosomal RNA". It matches the Rfam family "Bacterial small subunit ribosomal RNA", at positions 28 to 507 of the family's 1533-position model. The record is from RNAcentral.
GACGAACGCUGGCGGCGUGCCUAAUACUUGCAAGUCGAACGCACUCUCGUUUAGAUUGAAGGAGUUUGCUCCUGAUUGAUAAACAUUUGAGUGAGUGGCGGACGGGUGAGUAACACGUGGGUAACCUGCCCUAAAGUGGGGGAUAACAUUUGGAAACAGAUGCUAAUACCGCAUAAAACCUAACACCGCAUGGUGUAGGGUUGAAAGAUGGUUUCGGCUAUCACUUUAGGAUGGACCCGCGGUGCAUUAGUUAGUUGGUGAGGUAAAGGCUCACCAAGACCGUGAUGCAUAGCCGACCUGAGAGGAUAAUCGGCCACACUGGGACUGAGACACGGCCCAGACUCCUACGGGAGGCAGCAGUAGGGAAUCUUCCACAAUGGACGAAAGUCUGAUGGAGCAACGCCGCGUGAGUGAAGAAGGUUUUCGGAUCGUAAAACUCUGUUGUUGGAGAAGAAUGUAUCUGAUAGUAACUGAUCAGGUAGUGACGGUAUCCAAACAGAAAGCCACGGCUAACUACGUG